Molecule: ribosomal RNA, 407 nt
Filed under: uncultured bacterium
Lineage: Bacteria
Description: partial 16S ribosomal RNA
Rfam family: Bacterial small subunit ribosomal RNA
Source: RNAcentral
AAUAUUGGACAAUGGACGGAAGUCUGACGCAGCGACGCCGCGUGAGCGAUGAAGGUCUUCGGAUCGUAAAGCUCUGUCCUUGGGGAAGAAGGGCUUCGGCCUUGACGGUACCCAAGAAGAAAGCCCCGGCUAACUACGUGCCAGCAGCCGCGGUACUACGUAGGGGGCUAGCGUUGUCCGGAAUUACUGGGCGUAAAGGGUGCGUAGGCGGCCCUUUAAGUCAGAUGUGAAAGGCCACGGCUUAACCGUGGAACUGCAUUUGAAACUGGAGGGCUUGAGUGUCGGAGAGGGUAGUGGAAUUCCCAGUGUAGCGGUGAAAUGCGUAGAUAUUGGGAGGAACACCAGUGGCGAAGGCGACUACCUGGACGAUAACUGACGCUGAGGCACGAAAGCUAGGGGAGCAAACA